Long non-coding RNA from Marmota monax (woodchuck), 1337 nucleotides. RefSeq lists it as uncharacterized. The transcript is spliced from 2 exons. NCBI's taxonomy places the organism in Eukaryota, Metazoa, Chordata, Mammalia, Rodentia, Sciuridae. The record is from RefSeq and is a predicted model, not a curated record.
CCAGAUUGAUUGACCGACUGACAGGAGCACUAUGCCAGCAGACCUGAGGUUGCAGAACAAGAAGCAUGGUCAGGUGCUGGAGGAGUGACAGGUGUGCAGUUCCAUGGCAUGGAGCACACUCACACUGCUGUGCUUCUCACCACCCUUUCUCCAAACUGUACCAUCCCAGGAUCCAACUCUGCACCGCUCCACAGAAACUCCCUAACUGCUUCCUCACAGGAUGCCUGGCAACAGGGGUUCUACUUCCUGUCUCUGUGACUUACUGUAGGUACUUCAUACAACUGGAACCAUCUAGCAUUUGGCCUGCUGUGACUGGCUUAUUUCACUUAGUUUAAUGUCUUCAAGGUUCAUCCAUGAGGUAGCACAUACCAGGGUUUCAUUCCUUUUAAAAACUGAGUUAUAUUUCACUGUAUGUAUAUAGCAAAUUUUGUUUAUCUAUUCAUCUUUCAAUGAACAUCGAGUUUUUCCUACAUUUGGCUAUUAUGAAUAAUGCUUCUAUGAACAUUGGGGUACAAGUGCCUGUUCUUAAAUACCUUGGUAUAUACACCCAGCAGUAGAAGCAAUUGUGGGCAAAUGGUAAUGCUGUUAUGCUUACUAUGGAUUACUUUACAUCCACUCUUCAGUGUUAUGUUGACAUGCUUCCUCCUGUAGCACCCAGAGGUAGGAACUCAGUCUUACUGCUGGGCCCAGCACAGGCCUGGUGCUUUGAUUAACGUUUGGGAAGGGAUGGAUGAAUGGUAAAUUUAGCUGAAGCAGAUAUAAAGAGAAGACAAGUGACAGGGUUCCUGAUGGUAAUUUUCACUCCCAGAGGUCCCAAAUAGACUGCCCACAGAGUUGUCUGGUUUUCCUCAGUUUUUGUUUUUGUUUGUUGUUGUUUUGUAGUACUGGGAAUUGAACCCAGGGGUGCUCUGCCAGUGAGCUACAUCGCAGCCCUUUUGGGAACAGGGUCUCAUUAAACUACAGAAGCUAGCCUCGAUCUUGAGAUUCUCCAGCCUCAGCCUCCCAAGUAGCUGGGAGUACAGGUGGUGUUGUUUUUUAAAUUUUCUAACUUUCUUGCCUGGGGCUCACCCUUCCUACAGCCUCACACCAGAAGCCAUUAGAUUAGAGCCCAAGUAUCUAUGCUUCAAGGUUCCUCUUCAGGCGACAGAAAACUUUUAGUCAGAAGGAACAGUGUUAGAAUUCAAGCUCCAUCACUUCUUGGUGAUGACCCUAAGUCUCUUUCCUCAUGUGUAAAAUGGGAAUAUUGUAUAAUGCAUACAUCAACUAUAAAGAUUAACCCAAAUAUAUGAAGGGUCCAGAACAAAGGAGAUCUGUCAAUAAAUAUUAGUUCUUUCUUA